UACGAAGGGUGCAAACGUUGCUCGGAAUUAUUGGGCGUAAAGCGCACGUAGGCGGCUUAGCAAGUCGGAAGUGAAAGCCCUUGGCUCAACCAAGGAAGUGCUUUCGAAACUGCUGAGCUUGAGUAGUUAAGAGGAUCGCGGAAUUCCCGGUGUAGAGGUGAAAUUCGUAGAUAUCGGGAGGAACACCAGUGGCGAAGGCGGCGAUCUGGGAACAUACUGACGCUGAGGUGCGAAAGCGUGGGGAGCAAACAGGG
Molecule: ribosomal RNA, 254 nt
Filed under: uncultured bacterium
Lineage: Bacteria
Description: partial 16S ribosomal RNA
Rfam family: Bacterial small subunit ribosomal RNA
Source: RNAcentral